Molecule: non-coding RNA, 2047 nt
Organism: Benincasa hispida (wax gourd)
Lineage: Eukaryota; Viridiplantae; Streptophyta; Magnoliopsida; Cucurbitales; Cucurbitaceae
Source: RefSeq, a predicted model, not a curated record
AAUUGGUUUUAAUUAAAAGAUUAAAUUUAUAGCAAAUGUAUUUAUAAGGGACAUUUUGUCGGCUAGUUUUGUCCAGGCUGGGGUAUUUAAGCUGACGGAAACUGAACACCUGUACUUGGGAACUGACCUGGAAAGGUGAAUUAAAUAGAUUUGCUACAAGCAUGCAAUUGUUGAUUAAAGUUUAUUAAAAUGUUUAAUGAACAUUAAUAAAAGUUGUUUAACUAUUCAAAGUAAGUAUUAUUUUUGGGCAAAUGUAAACAAACACUUAGUAAAAAUAUGUAGUCCUAUUUUUCUAAGAUAAAUAACCUUAGGUAAUACACUCAAUGGGUGGAAAAUGGGGUAUAUGAUACUUUUUUUUUGCUUUUUCACGUUUCUUCCUAUAAGUUUACACCAUGAUAUCUAUACUUGGCCUUGAGGCACCUUUGCUUGUGUCUUUCUACAGGUGGUGUCUGUAUAAGUCAAUACUAAGGUGAAUGAAGAGAGUGCUUAUAGUAAGUGAGAGUGGGACGUAUCUCAACACAUCCCAUGCUCUCUCUUAUUAGUUUGGAGUAAAUUUUCAUGCUUGGCCUUAAGGCACAUUUGCUUGUGUCCCUUUAUGGAUGACUUUGCAUGCCUCUUUGCUCAAACUCCAAAAAUGGAUAGGAUUGCUUUAAUUUUCGCCCUAAUCGGUUUUUCCGUACAGUUGGCUCAUUGGGGCGGAACUCUAGAAUCUAAAAUGAGGUGUUACACUUACAAGAAAAUGUUAAGCAAGUUAACAGUUUCUGGACCAAACAAUGGUGACUGAUAUUUACAGUAACAAAGAGUUGUUCUGUAUAUUGGUUGAGAUGGUCUCAUUUCAGUGAAAGGGUACCUGAUCACCAUACGGUGGCUUUUACCCUGCCUCACUGAAACAUCAUUGCAAAAUAGAUGUCACAUAGGAUACAUUAAAUUAUUUUGCUAAAUUUGAUUGGUUUUUUCAAAAGGGUAAUGCUUGAAUACUAAUAUAAAUAAAUUGUAUGUUUAAGCAAACUUCAUAAUGACUUCCGCAACGCUAAAUUUACUCGUCGCUGGCAACUUACCGGCAAGAAUUACACUACAUGAAAAACACAAUCCAAACAAUAUUGAUCAUUGAUGACUUGAGAUUUGUCCUAAUGAAGAAUUGUCCUUUUGUUCCUCCUCAAAAUGCUCCUCGCAACGCUUGAGAGGCAUAUGAGUGUUGGAUACAGACAAAUGAGAAGGCCCGAGCAUAUAUCUUGGCAAGGCUUUCUGAAGUCUUGGCCAAGAAGCAUGAUUCCUUCACCGCCCGAGAGAUCAUGGAGUUUCUGCAGGUGAUGUUUAAACAACCGUUCGCACAACUCAGUCAUGACGUUCUGAAAAACAUCUUCAAUGCCCGUAUACAAGAGGGGGCAUCUGUUAGAGAACAUGUUUUCAACAUGGUGGUCUACUUCAACAUGGCGGAGAUGAAUAAGUCUAUCAUCGAUGAAGCCAGUCAGGAUUGAGUACAACCUGACCACCUUGCUCAACGAACUACAGACUUUCCAAUCCUUGAUAAAAACCAAGGAACAAAAGCGUGAGGUAAAUCUUGCCUCAUCCUCUAAGAAGUUCUACAAAGGUUCGACCUCUAGAACUAAGUCUGUAUCUUUCUUUUGGCACGAAAAAGUUGAAGAAGAAGAAAGGUAGAAAGAGGAAAGCUAACCUACCAGUUGCUGCCUAGAGGGGCAAAAGGACCAAGGCUGCAAAGGGAAUCUGUUUCCAUUGUAGCCAGCAAGGACUAGAAGAGGAAUUGUCCUAAAUACUUGGCAGAAAAGAAGAAGAUCAAGUAAGAGAAUUAGUUCUUGGUGGCAACUGGAGGCUGAGGAGAUGAUGAUGUGUGUUGGAACUGGGCACUUCGUUUUAGCUAUGACAUUGGGAGGACUCUAGCUUACUUUACAGAAAAAUUGUAUUUUGUUGGAUAAUGUAUAUGUAGUUCCUGAUUUAAAGAGGAACUUAAUUUCUGGAAAGUGUUUCAUUGAACAAAAGUAUUAUGUACAUUUUUCUAUGAAUAAAGCGUUUAUUUCUAAGAGUGGUA